This is a long non-coding RNA of Helianthus annuus (common sunflower), 216 nucleotides long. RefSeq lists it as uncharacterized. The transcript has 3 exons. NCBI's taxonomy places the organism in Eukaryota, Viridiplantae, Streptophyta, Magnoliopsida, Asterales, Asteraceae. The record is from RefSeq and is a predicted model, not a curated record.
GGAUGAGCCCCCCAAGGCUCGCGGGAGGAUGUUUCAGUUAACCUCGGAUGAAGCUAAAGCUAGCCCGGAUGUGGUUUCAGGCACAAAGAAGGAAGAAGGCGCAAGUCACUCGAAGGCACAAGCAUCUCAAGAUCGCGGUAAAUCCCUUGCUUGAUUGCGGCGCACCCGGACCGAACACACACACGUAAUGUCGACCUUAUGCGCUUCCGGUCCAAG